GACGAACGCUGGCGGCGUGCUUAACACAUGCAAGUCGUACGGUAAGGCCCUUUCGGGGGUACACGAGUGGCGAACGGGUGAGUAACACGUGAGUAACCUGCCCACAACUUUGGGAUAACGCUAGGAAACUGGUGCUAAUUCUGGAUAUGUGCCCCUGCUGCAUGGUGGGGGUUGGAAAGCUCCGGCGGUUGUGGAUGGACUCGCGGCCUAUCAGCUUGUUGGUGGGGUAGUGGCCUACCAAGGCGGCGACGGGUAGCCGGCCUGAGAGGGUGACCGGCCACAUUGGGACUGAGAUACGGCCCAGACUCCUACGGGAGGCAGCAGUGGGGAAUAUUGCACAAUGGGCGCAAGCCUGAUGCAGCAACGCCGCGUGCGGGAUGACGGCCUUCGGGUUGUAAACCGCUUUCAGCAGGGACGAAGCUUUUUGUGACGGUACCUGCAGAAGAAGCACCGGCUAACUACGUG
RNAcentral lists this ribosomal RNA (465 nucleotides) under uncultured bacterium. Its description in RNAcentral is "partial 16S ribosomal RNA". It matches the Rfam family "Bacterial small subunit ribosomal RNA", at positions 28 to 507 of the family's 1533-position model. The record is from RNAcentral.